This 253-nucleotide ribosomal RNA is filed under the name uncultured bacterium. RNAcentral's name for it is "partial 16S ribosomal RNA". It matches the Rfam family "Bacterial small subunit ribosomal RNA", at positions 524 to 776 of the family's 1533-position model. The record is from RNAcentral.
UACGGGGGGGGCAAGCGUUGUUCGGAAUUACUGGGCGUAAAGGGCUCGUAGGCGGCCAACUAAGUCAGACGUGAAAUCCCUCGGCUUAACCGGGGAACUGCCUCUGAUACUGGAUGGCUUGAGAUUGGGAGAGGGAAGCGGAAUUCCGGGUGUAGCGGUGAAAUGCGCAGAUAUCCGGAGGAACACCGGUGGCGAAGGCGGCUUCCUGGACCGACACUGACGCUGAGGCGCGAAAGCUAGGGGAGCAAACGGG